AUUGAACGCUGGCGGCAUGCCUUACACAUGCAAGUCGAACGGCAGCACGGGAGCAAUCCUGGUGGCGAGUGGCGAACGGGUGAGUAAUAUAUCGGAACGUGCCCAGUCGUGGGGGAUAACGUAGCGAAAGCUACGCUAAUACCGCAUACGAUCUACGGAUGAAAGCGGGGGAUCGCAAGACCUCGCACGAUUGGAGAGGCCGAUAUCAGAUUAGCUAGUUGGUGAGGUAAAGGCUCAACAAGGCGCCGAUCUGUAGCUGGGCUGAGAGGACGGCCAGGCACACUGGACGUGAGACACGGUACAGAUUCCUACGGGAGGCAGCAGUGGGGAAUUUUGGACAAUGGGCGCAAGCCUGAUUCAGCAAUGCCGCGUGCAGGAUGAAGGCCUUCGGGUUGUAAACUGCUUUUGUACGGAACGAAACGGUGAGCUCUAAUACAGUUUGCUAAUGACGGUACCGUAAGAAUAAGCACCGGCUAACUACGUGCCAGCCGCCGCGGUAA
This 500-nucleotide ribosomal RNA is filed under the name uncultured bacterium. Its description in RNAcentral is "partial 16S ribosomal RNA". It matches the Rfam family "Bacterial small subunit ribosomal RNA", at positions 30 to 523 of the family's 1533-position model. The record is from RNAcentral.